This 327-nucleotide ribosomal RNA is filed under the name uncultured eukaryote. RNAcentral's name for it is "partial 18S ribosomal RNA". It matches the Rfam family "Eukaryotic small subunit ribosomal RNA", at positions 1470 to 1796 of the family's 1831-position model. The record is from RNAcentral.
CCCUUAGAUGUUCUGGGCCGCACGCGCGCUACACUGACGAAUGCAACGAGCUUAUAACCUUGGCCGAAAGGUCUGGGUAAUCUCCAAAUUUCGUCGUGAUGGGGAUAGAUUAUUGCAAUUAUUAAUCUUCAACGAGGAAUGCCUAGUAAGCGCAAGUCAUCAGCUUGCGUUGAUUACGUCCCUGCCCUUUGUACACACCGCCCGUCGCUCCUACCGAUUGAAUGGUCCGGUGAAGCGUUCGGACCGUGGCCUUUGGACGGUUCGCCGUCUGUUGGCUGCGGGAAGUUCGUUAAACCUUAUCAUUUAGGGGAAGGAGAAGUCGUAACA